Molecule: ribosomal RNA, 1179 nt
Filed under: Arthrobacter sp. YNb-2
Lineage: Bacteria; Bacillati; Actinomycetota; Actinomycetes; Micrococcales; Micrococcaceae
Description: bacterial SSU rRNA
Rfam family: Bacterial small subunit ribosomal RNA
Source: RNAcentral
CCUUGACUCUGGGAUAAGCCUGGGAAACUGGGUCUAAUACCGGAUAUGACUGAUCAUCGCAUGGUGGUUGGUGGAAAGCUUUUGUGGUUUUGGAUGGACUCGCGGCCUAUCAGCUUGUUGGUGGGGUAAUGGCCUACCAAGGCGACGACGGGUAGCCGGCCUGAGAGGGUGACCGGCCACACUGGGACUGAGACACGGCCCAAACUCCUACGGGAGGCAGCAGUGGGGAAUAUUGCACAAUGGGCGAAAGCCUGAUGCAGCGACGCCGCGUGAGGGAUGACGGCCUUCGGGUUGUAAACCUCUUUCAGUAGGGAAGAAGCGUAAGUGACGGUACCUGCAGAAGAAGCGCCGGCUAACUACGUGCCAGCAGCCGCGGUAAUACGUAGGGCGCAAGCGUUAUCCGGAAUUAUUGGGCGUAAAGAGCUCGUAGGCGGUUUGUCGCGUCUGCCGUGAAAGUCCGGGGCUCAACUCCGGAUCUGCGGUGGGUACGGGCAGACUAGAGUGAUGUAGGGGAGACUGGAAUUCCUGGUGUAGCGGUGAAAUGCGCAGAUAUCAGGAGGAACACCGAUGGCGAAGGCAGGUCUCUGGGCAUUAACUGACGCUGAGGAGCGAAAGCAUGGGGAGCGAACAGGAUUAGAUACCCUGGUAGUCCAUGCCGUAAACGUUGGGCACUAGGUGUGGGGGACAUUCCACGUUUUCCGCGCCGUAGCUAACGCAUUAAGUGCCCCGCCUGGGGAGUACGGCCGCAAGGCUAAAACUCAAAGGAAUUGACGGGGGCCCGCACAAGCGGCGGAGCAUGCGGAUUAAUUCGAUGCAACGCGAAGAACCUUACCAAGGCUUGACAUGAACCAGACCGGGCUGGAAACAGUCCUUCCCCUUUGGGGUUGGUUUACAGGUGGUGCAUGGUUGUCGUCAGCUCGUGUCGUGAGAUGUUGGGUUAAGUCCCGCAACGAGCGCAACCCUCGUUCCAUGUUGCCAGCGGGUAGUGCCGGGGACUCAUGGGAGACUGCCGGGGUCAACUCGGAGGAAGGUGGGGACGACGUCAAAUCAUCAUGCCCCUUAUGUCUUGGGCUUCACGCAUGCUACAAUGGCCGGUACAAAGGGUUGCGAUACUGUGAGGUGGAGCUAAUCCCAAAAAGCCGGUCUCAGUUCGGAUUGGGGUCUGCAACUCGACCCCAU